Molecule: ribosomal RNA, 116 nt
Filed under: Scophthalmus maximus (turbot)
Lineage: Eukaryota; Metazoa; Chordata; Actinopteri; Pleuronectiformes; Scophthalmidae
Source: RNAcentral
GCUUACGGCCACACAGCCUGGUUCUCUGAUCUCGUUUGAUCUCGGAAGCUAAGAUAGGUUGGGCCUGGUUAGUACUUGGAUGGGAGACCGUCUGGGAAUACCAGGUGCUGUAUGCU